UUCUGGCUCAGGACGAACGCUGGCGGCGUGCUUAACACAUGCAAGUCGAACGGGAGUAUUGAAGAAGCUUGCUUAGAGAUACUUAGUGGCGGACGGGUGAGUAACGCGUGAGGAGCUGUCCUAUGCAGGGGGACAACAGCUGGAAACGGCUGCUAAUACCCCAUAAGCCGAGAGGUAAAAGGAUCAAUCCGGCAGAGGAGGUACUCGCGUCCUAUCAGCUAGUAGGUGAGGUAACGGCUCACCUAGGCGAAGACGGGUAGCCGGCCUGAGAGGGCGAACGGCCACACUGGAACUGAGAUACGGUCCAGACUCCUACGGGAGGCAGCAGUGGGGAAUAUUGGGCAAUGGGGGAAACCCUGACCCAGCGACGCCGCGUGGGUGAAGAAAUCCUUCGGGAUGUAAAGCCCUGUUGUAUGGGAAGAGCGGAAGACGGUACCAUACGAGGAAGCCCCGGCAAACUACGUGCCAGCAGCGGC
Molecule: ribosomal RNA, 476 nt
Filed under: uncultured bacterium
Lineage: Bacteria
Description: bacterial SSU rRNA
Rfam family: Bacterial small subunit ribosomal RNA
Source: RNAcentral